UGUAUCUUGGUUCAACCCAGUAAAAAGAGAUGAGUUGAAGUUGAAUUAGAUGGUUAUCACUACCAAACUAGAAUGGGGCUGCUAUCAAGUAGAGACAUCAACGUCUGUCGAUCUCGGUCCCUCGCCCUUGGCGGUGAAUGCAGCCACUUGUAUGGUAUAUCCCGUGUAGACAUCAAGCCCCCGCAACAAAACCCGCACCUCGCUUGGUCCCGUCUGGUUGCUAAGAUACGCCGUGCUAUGGACGCUCUUGAAGUACACCCUGUAACCUAGCAACACGCCUCGCACGUGACCGGACCAGUCCCCUUGGUGGUAAAUGCCACCAGCGUGAUGUCAUAAACAGUGAACGCCUUGAGGCCACGUAACGCCAACUCCGUGGAAUUUGGCGGGGCGUGGAUUACAGAACGAGAUACGUUCAGAGAAGCAAAU
Nematostella vectensis (starlet sea anemone) is the source of this 426-nucleotide long non-coding RNA. RefSeq lists it as uncharacterized. Lineage: Eukaryota; Metazoa; Cnidaria; Anthozoa; Actiniaria; Edwardsiidae. The record is from RefSeq and is a predicted model, not a curated record. The transcript is spliced from 3 exons.